Molecule: ribosomal RNA, 1554 nt
Filed under: Klebsiella pneumoniae subsp. pneumoniae
Lineage: Bacteria; Pseudomonadati; Pseudomonadota; Gammaproteobacteria; Enterobacterales; Enterobacteriaceae
Description: bacterial SSU rRNA
Rfam family: Bacterial small subunit ribosomal RNA
Source: RNAcentral
ACUUAAAUUGAAGAGUUUGAUCAUGGCUCAGAUUGAACGCUGGCGGCAGGCCUAACACAUGCAAGUCGAGCGGUAGCACAGAGAGCUUGCUCUCGGGUGACGAGCGGCGGACGGGUGAGUAAUGUCUGGGAAACUGCCUGAUGGAGGGGGAUAACUACUGGAAACGGUAGCUAAUACCGCAUAACGUCGCAAGACCAAAGUGGGGGACCUUCGGGCCUCAUGCCAUCAGAUGUGCCCAGAUGGGAUUAGCUAGUAGGUGGGGUAACGGCUCACCUAGGCGACGAUCCCUAGCUGGUCUGAGAGGAUGACCAGCCACACUGGAACUGAGACACGGUCCAGACUCCUACGGGAGGCAGCAGUGGGGAAUAUUGCACAAUGGGCGCAAGCCUGAUGCAGCCAUGCCGCGUGUGUGAAGAAGGCCUUCGGGUUGUAAAGCACUUUCAGCGGGGAGGAAGGCGGUGAGGUUAAUAACCUCAUCGAUUGACGUUACCCGCAGAAGAAGCACCGGCUAACUCCGUGCCAGCAGCCGCGGUAAUACGGAGGGUGCAAGCGUUAAUCGGAAUUACUGGGCGUAAAGCGCACGCAGGCGGUCUGUCAAGUCGGAUGUGAAAUCCCCGGGCUUAACCUGGGAACUGCAUUCGAAACUGGCAGGCUAGAGUCUUGUAGAGGGGGGUAGAAUUCCAGGUGUAGCGGUGAAAUGCGUAGAGAUCUGGAGGAAUACCGGUGGCGAAGGCGGCCCCCUGGACAAAGACUGACGCUCAGGUGCGAAAGCGUGGGGAGCAAACAGGAUUAGAUACCCUGGUAGUCCACGCCGUAAACGAUGUCGAUUUGGAGGUUGUGCCCUUGAGGCGUGGCUUCCGGAGCUAACGCGUUAAAUCGACCGCCUGGGGAGUACGGCCGCAAGGUUAAAACUCAAAUGAAUUGACGGGGGCCCGCACAAGCGGUGGAGCAUGUGGUUUAAUUCGAUGCAACGCGAAGAACCUUACCUGGUCUUGACAUCCACAGAACUUUCCAGAGAUGGAUUGGUGCCUUCGGGAACUGUGAGACAGGUGCUGCAUGGCUGUCGUCAGCUCGUGUUGUGAAAUGUUGGGUUAAGUCCCGCAACGAGCGCAACCCUUAUCCUUUGUUGCCAGCGGUUAGGCCGGGAACUCAAAGGAGACUGCCAGUGAUAAACUGGAGGAAGGUGGGGAUGACGUCAAGUCAUCAUGGCCCUUACGACCAGGGCUACACACGUGCUACAAUGGCAUAUACAAAGAGAAGCGACCUCGCGAGAGCAAGCGGACCUCAUAAAGUAUGUCGUAGUCCGGAUUGGAGUCUGCAACUCGACUCCAUGAAGUCGGAAUCGCUAGUAAUCGUAGAUCAGAAUGCUACGGUGAAUACGUUCCCGGGCCUUGUACACACCGCCCGUCACACCAUGGGAGUGGGUUGCAAAAGAAGUAGGUAGCUUAACCUUCGGGAGGGCGCUUACCACUUUGUGAUUCAUGACUGGGGUGAAGUCGUAACAAGGUAACCGUAGGGGAACCUGCGGUUGGAUCACCUCCUUACCUUAAAGAA